GGGCCCGUAGCUCAGCCUGGACAGAGCGUCUGCCUCCUAAGUAGAAGGUCCCGCGUUCGAAUCGCGGCGGGCCCG
RNAcentral lists this transfer RNA (75 nucleotides) under Microcaldota archaeon. Its description in RNAcentral is "tRNA-Arg". It matches the Rfam family "tRNA". Rfam says of the family: Transfer RNA (tRNA) molecules are approximately 80 nucleotides in length. Their secondary structure includes four short double-helical elements and three loops (D, anti-codon, and T loops). Lineage: Archaea; Nanobdellati; Microcaldota. The record is from RNAcentral.